This 73-nucleotide transfer RNA is filed under the name Pseudomonadota bacterium. RNAcentral describes it as "tRNA-Ala". It matches the Rfam family "tRNA". Rfam says of the family: Transfer RNA (tRNA) molecules are approximately 80 nucleotides in length. RNAcentral also lists the same sequence under 1 other name. Lineage: Bacteria; Pseudomonadati; Pseudomonadota. The record is from RNAcentral.
GGGGCUGUAGCUCAGCUGGGAGAGCACUUCGUUCGCAACGAAGGGGUCGAGGGUUCGAAUCCCUUCAGCUCCA